AAACCAAAUCCUUUCUUUUUUUUUUCCUUUUGAUUUCUUGUGGUGCUUUUGGCUCGAAGAUCUCGCUGGUUUUCUUUCUUUUUUUUUUUUUUGGAACUGAAUCAUUUCGUUUCUAAAUAAAGCAAAAGUUCUUUUGUUGUUUCUGUGAUGAGUUCAUGUUAUGGGGUCUCUAAUCUGGGUACAGCAUCUUAUGAUAGAUCUUGAUUUGGAAUUGAGAUCAAUCUUGUAAUCGUAGUACAAGAUUAUGUAGUAUCUUAUAUAUUACACAGAUUAUGUAGUAUCUUAUCAUCGGAA
Molecule: unclassified non-coding RNA, 294 nt
Filed under: Hevea brasiliensis (rubber tree)
Lineage: Eukaryota; Viridiplantae; Streptophyta; Magnoliopsida; Malpighiales; Euphorbiaceae
Source: RNAcentral